Molecule: long non-coding RNA, 230 nt
Filed under: Ananas comosus (pineapple)
Lineage: Eukaryota; Viridiplantae; Streptophyta; Magnoliopsida; Poales; Bromeliaceae
Description: long non-coding RNA (ACOM_LNC036182)
Source: RNAcentral
UUCUAUCUUCUUUGGUUUCCGGUGAUUACGGCUUGUCUUCGUGGCUCUGUCGUACCCACUGGAAAACCAUGGUUGCGGUUUCUCACCCCCCAUUCCCCCCAGGUGACAUGGACGAGGAGUUGGUAUUUGGGCUCGAUGGGAGGACGAUCUAGCUAGUCGGCAGUAGCGACCGUCACCCUAGUUAUAUUUCUUCCCGCAUUUAGUAGUUGUUAAUAAUAAAUAGUUCAGUU